This is a long non-coding RNA of Rosa rugosa (rugosa rose), 617 nucleotides long. RefSeq lists it as uncharacterized. NCBI's taxonomy places the organism in Eukaryota, Viridiplantae, Streptophyta, Magnoliopsida, Rosales, Rosaceae. The transcript has 2 exons. The record is from RefSeq and is a predicted model, not a curated record.
UCGGAGCAUAAUUAUGCGAUAAUAAUGUUGGUUUGCCAAAGCAAGGAAAGAAAUAUGAGCAAAAGGAAGGAGAUUUGUGCAAAUAAUGGAGAAGUGUGGAAUCUUGAUGAGUCAAGGAAGCAUACGGCAACAUGAAGAAAAAGAUAUUCAGCAAUUAAUUAUCUUGGCUGCUCUUAUUGGAUAGAAGGAUGUCAAUGAAUCCAAAAUCAAUCAGAACAUUAAUAAAGGAGCUUUCCGUGGAAGCCAAGGAAUUAGAGUCCCAAAAGGAAAGAAGAAAAGAGUUACAAACUGAAUAAAAUCUCUCCUUAGACGUUGAAGAACCAUACCAUCACACAUACGGAAGAGGAGAGACGCACAAGAGCUGAAAAAGAAGAAGAAUUACAACCAUCACCGAAAACGAUCGAUCGCUGCCUGCCGACGAUCGAUCGCCGAUCAGCCUUUUCCUAUUUCUUGGUUUUUGUUGUCUUCUUUCUCCAUGAACUCAAUUGUGUUUUUGAUUUCCAUUAUGUGUAACUAAAUUUCCAGUAGCUAGGGGGUAGUUGAAGCCCUAGACAUGAUCCACAACAUGCUCUGACAUUCAAUUUGUUUUCCAAUUAAUAAAGUUGAGGUUUUGUUUA